GUCCUGUAGUUUAAAAUAUUAUAUAAUGUUAAUAGAUUAAAAUAAUUCAAACAUGCAACUGAUUUAUUGUCCCGUAGUUUAAAGUACUAUACAAUGUUAAUAGAUUAAAAUAGUUCAAACACUAAUUGUUCUACCAGUACAACCGUUCAUCAAGUCUCCAGAAUGUUUUUGUAUUUCAAAUGCUUCGACGUAUUUCCUCUCCCCGUCGUUCACGAUAUUAGCAUGUAAAAUCUUCCACUUUAUUGUAGGUAACUUUGAUUUCUUGUGGGAUUCCAAAUGUUUAUAAACCGUCUGCUUUUCCAUUGUCAAGUGUUCUUUGAUCCGUGAUCCAAUUGUUCGCCCGGUCUCCCCAAUGUAAACAAUUCCACAUAUUGAACAUUCGAUUUUGUAAACUACAUUCUUCUUAAAGCAAAGGUUCGGUUUAGAAGACAACUUACACGUUUCACAUUCGCCCUGGCAGUUCUGUUUAGUCUUUGGUGGAGCAAAAACUUUAGAAAGGGGUUGACCGUUGGUAAAAUGUAACCUU
Molecule: non-coding RNA, 526 nt
Organism: Paramuricea clavata
Lineage: Eukaryota; Metazoa; Cnidaria; Anthozoa; Malacalcyonacea; Plexauridae
Source: the annotation of a GenBank genome assembly